This 251-nucleotide ribosomal RNA is filed under the name uncultured prokaryote. RNAcentral describes it as "partial 16S ribosomal RNA". It matches the Rfam family "Bacterial small subunit ribosomal RNA", at positions 525 to 775 of the family's 1533-position model. The record is from RNAcentral.
ACAGAGGGCCCGAGCGUUAGUCGGAAUUACUGGGCUUAAAGGGUGCGCAGGCGGAUCGGCAGGCAUCUUGUGAAAUCCCCCGGCUCAACCGGGGAAUUGCGGGGUGAACCGCCGGUCUUGAGGCAGGUAGAGGCAAGUGGAAUUCCGGGUGUAGUGGUGAAAUGCGUAGAGAUCCGGAGGAACCCCGGUGGCGAAGGCGACUUGCUGGGCCUGAACUGACGCUCAGACGCGAAAGCAUGGGGAGCGAACGG